GUAGGUGGCAAGCGUUGUCCGGGAAUUAUUGGGGCGUAGAGCGCGCGCAGGUGGUUCUUUAAGUCUGAUGUGAAAGCCCCCCCGGGCUCAACCAGGGGAGGGUCAUUGGAAACUGGGGAACUUGAGUGCAGGAGAGGAAAGUGGAAUUCCACGUGUAGCGGUGAAAUGCGUAGAUAUGUGGAGGAACACCAGUGGCGAAGGCGACUUUCUGGCCUGUAACUGACACUGAGGCGCGAAAGCGUGGGGAGCAAACAGGAUUAGAUACCCUGGUAGUCCACGCCGUAAACGAUGAGUGCUAAGUGUUGGGGGGUUCCCGCCCCUCAGUGCUGCAGCUAACGCAUUAAGCACUCCGCCUGGGGAGUACGGUCGCAAAGACUGA
Molecule: ribosomal RNA, 379 nt
Filed under: uncultured organism
Description: partial 16S ribosomal RNA
Rfam family: Bacterial small subunit ribosomal RNA
Source: RNAcentral